CCCUAUGGGGUGCAGCAGGCGAGAAACCUUUGCAAUGUGCGCAAGCACGACAAGGUUAAUCCGAGUGUUUCCUGCUAAAGGAAUCUUUUGUUAGUUGUAAAACCACUGAUGAAUAAGGGGUGGGCAAGUUCUGGUGUCAGCCGCCGCGGUAAAACCAGCACCUCAAGUGGUCAGGAUGAUUAUUGGGCCUAAAGCAUCCGUAGCCUGUUCUGUAAGUUUCCGGUUAAAUCCAUUAGCUCAACUAAUGGGCUGCCGAAAAUACUGCAAAACUAGGGAGUGGGAGAGGUAGACGGUACUCGGUAGGAAGGGGUAAAAUCCUUUGAUCUAUUGAUGACCACCUGUGGCGAAGGCGGUCUACCAGAACACGUUCGACGGUGAGGGAUGAAAGCUGGGGGAGCAAACCGGAUUAGAUACCCGGGUAGUCCCAGCUGUAAACGAUGCAGACUCGGUGAUGCCCUGGCUUGUGGCCAGUGCAGUGCCGCAGGGAAGCCGUUAAGUUUGCCGCCUGGGAAGUACGUACGCAAGUAUGAAACUUAAAGGAAUUGGCGGGGGAGCACCACAAGGGGUGAAGCCUGCGGUUCAAUUGGAGUCAACGCCAGAAAUCUUACCCGAAGAGACAGCAGAAUGAAGGUCAAGCUGGAGACUUUACCAGACAAGCUGAGAAGUGGUGCAUGGCC
This 677-nucleotide ribosomal RNA is filed under the name uncultured archaeon. RNAcentral's name for it is "bacterial SSU rRNA". It matches the Rfam family "Archaeal small subunit ribosomal RNA", at positions 321 to 999 of the family's 1478-position model. The record is from RNAcentral.